Molecule: ribosomal RNA, 460 nt
Filed under: uncultured bacterium
Lineage: Bacteria
Description: partial 16S ribosomal RNA
Rfam family: Bacterial small subunit ribosomal RNA
Source: RNAcentral
CCUACGGGAUGCAGCAGUGAGGAAUAUUGGUCAAUGGGCGCGAGCCUGAACCAGCCACGUAGCGUGAAGGAUGACUGCCCUACGGGUUGUAAACUUCUUUUAUAAAGGAAUAAAGUGAGGCACGUGUGCCUUUUUGUAUGUACUGUAUGAAUAAGGAUCGGCUAACUCCGUGCCAGCAGCCGCGGUAAUACGGAGGAUCCGAGCGUUAUCCGGAUUUAUUGGGUUUAAAGGGAGCGUAGAUGGGUUGUUAAGUCAGUUGUGAAAGUUUGCGGCUCAACCGUAAAAUUGCAAUUGAUACUGGCAGCCUUGAGUGCAGUUGAGGUAAGCGGAAUUCGUGGUGUAGCGGUGAAAUGCUUAGAUAUCACGAAGAACUCCGAUUGCGAAAGCAGCUUACUAAACUGCCACUGACAUUGAUGCUCGAAAGUGUGGGUAUCAAACAGGAUUAGAUACCCGAGUAGUC